Molecule: ribosomal RNA, 300 nt
Filed under: Triticum aestivum (bread wheat)
Lineage: Eukaryota; Viridiplantae; Streptophyta; Magnoliopsida; Poales; Poaceae
Description: partial small subunit ribosomal RNA
Source: RNAcentral
AUGGCUUUGUUUUUUCAGCGCCCCGCUCCCCUAACUUGUAAAGAAGCGCAGUCAGAGGUGUUGACUUUACUGCUCCAUCCACGAUCCAGUAGCAUCAGACGUCUCUCCUCCCCUGCAGUAUUCCAGUUGCAUCAAAAACUCUGCAUUCUUUCCUUGCUUCCAGUGGACGUGCUACCAGAACCAGAACUUCGUAGAAAAAGAGAAUCAGGCUUGUACAACAAAUACUUUAGAGAAGAGGAGGAUGAAGCGUUUACCAUUUUUGGCACUAAACGAAGCUGGUAUGGUGUGAACAAACUUUAA